RNAcentral lists this ribosomal RNA (239 nucleotides) under uncultured bacterium. Its description in RNAcentral is "partial 16S ribosomal RNA". It matches the Rfam family "Bacterial small subunit ribosomal RNA", at positions 538 to 776 of the family's 1533-position model. The record is from RNAcentral.
GCGUUGUUCGGAAUUACUGGGCGUAAAGCGCGCGUAGGCGGCUUUGUAAGUUAGAGGUGAAAGCCCGGGGCUCAACUCCGGAAUUGCCUUUAAGACUGCAUCGCUAGAAUCGUGGAGAGGUAAGUGGAAUUGGUAGUGUAGCAGUGAAAUGCGUAGAUAUUACCAGGAACACCAAUGGCGAAGGCAGCUUGCUGGGCCACUCCUGACACUGAGGUACGAAAGCGUGGGGAGCGAACAGG